GUACGGGAGCUACUGCUUUGCAUGGGGAUGCUGUCCUCUUGAGGCUGCAACCUGCUGUGAAGAUCAUUACAGCUGCUGUCCUCAUGACUACCCCAUCUGCAAUGUUCAGGAAGGAACCUGCCUAAUGGUAAUCCCUACGAUGAAAAAUUACUUUCAUUAGUCUGCUCAGCUGCCAUCAUACAGUCUUUGUUACAUAAAAUUUAAGGGUGUAGGAAAGCAUCCAUAAUUGAGAUAGAGAUAAAGAUAAAUGAUAGAUUAGUCCUAUAUGGCUAAAGGAUAAAGAAAUCAGGUCUUAUACAUUGAAUUUGACCCACAAACUUAAACCUUCCGGUUUUUUGGCUUGUGUUGGUGUCCAACCAUCAUGUAUGAUGACAUCAGCCAGUUUUGUCCCGAACAUAAUUAAUUGAAUUUUCAACGUAGGAUUUGUGUUGGGUGUUCCAAAAACUGAACAGAGAAAAAUAAUAUUGAAACAAAUAAGCGGGGUUAGAUUACCCAUUUGAGCUAUAUGAGCCAGAUAAUCCUGGUAAGUCUCAGUCUGAUUGAGUUGCACUGUGUUUGAGAAAGCAACAAAGGAAAUUGACUUAUUGAUUCUUUUUUAUGGUUAAAACACACAUGAAAGAGAGAGAUGAUUGCUAGUGUUUCAGUUUGCUCUAUCUCUAUAUGAAUUGUUCUGGUUUCGAUGUCUUAUUCCCUAACUUGUCCAUCUGAUUUGAUUAACAGAGCAAGAACAGUCCACUUAGAGUGAAGGCUUCCAAACGCACUCCAGCAAUUCCCUACUGGGCUCACUCUAUCUCGGAGGGCAAGAGGAGCAGCGCAUAAGCCACAUUGAGCAGGUGAGGAGCGAGAAGCACAAGAUGAUUAUCAAUUAUGGAUGUCCUUGCCUUCAAUGUGGACUUGAGAUGCAGCAAUUUGCUGCAAUGCUUAUUGAAGAAGACUAGAAGCUCUUGUACAUGUCUAUAAGUCCAGGUGUUGGACAACUGAAAUGAUGAUUUUACAUUACUUCACUUCCAUUAUCAUGUAAAUUAACUGAAAUUGGAUUUCCAGUAAUUUGCCUAUAAACUCUCUCCAUGGAUUUUAUGUUGGUACUGAUGCUACUGGCAAAUGGCAUCAGCAAACUUGUUUGUAUCAUUCCAAGUACUUGAGAGUUGCUGCUUCUACCCUUUUUGGCACCAUGGUUGACGUGGAGGUGUCGUAAGUCGAGAUUGCUGAACCCUGUUCACCUAAUUCAGCAGUCGAGGCGGAAUCUGCCAUAUGCCAUCAUCGACUGCUUGCUUUAUUGCUUUUGGUUUGUUUGGCUGUGAUUUUUCCACGUCACUCUGCCUCUCUGUAUCUUUAUUUAUUACAUUGCCAUUAUUUUUUACAAAGAUGAAUUACUAAAUAAAUAAGUAUAUCCUCUCUUCUCACACACACACACAUAUAUAUAUAUAUAAUAAAUAAAUAAAUAAAAAUUAUAAAUAUGUACCGACGUCAAUCUUCUCACACUCCAUUCAUUCAAUAUAACAUGCCUUGGAGUGGCCAAUCUUGAAUUAGAUAUCCUCCUCACCUCCUUUCCGUCCUUAUGGCUUCUUCUCUCAUCUUCCUUCUCUUGGCCGCGGCGGUGGUCGCCUCAGCUGUCCCCGACUUGUACAUGGUGACAAGCGGGGAGGGCCACAGCGAGCAGGUGUCCGGGCGGAGCGAGGAGGAGGUGGGUCUGCUCUACCUGGAGUGGGUGGCCAAGCACCGGCCGUCCCGCAACGCGCUUGCGGAAGAGGCGAGCCGGUUCGAGGUGUUCAAGGACAACCUCCGCUACAUCGACGCCCAUAACGCGGCGGCCGACCGCGGGGAGCACGCCUUCCGCCUCGGCCUCAACCGGUUCGCCGACCUGACCAACGAGGAGUACCGGGCCAAGUACCUAGGCGUCCGGGCCGCCGCGUCCCGCAGGAGGAGGGCCUCAUCGGAGGGCAGCAACCGGUACCGGCUGAGGGACGGCGAUGAUUUGCCUGAUUCAAUCGAUUGGAGGGAGAAGGGCGCUGUUGUCGGCGUUAAAGAUCAAGGCAGCUGCGGUGGGUGCUGAUAUUACCAUUUCUCCCUGCGUUGACUUCAAUUAGUUGCAAUUUCUGCUCUAUUUUUCUGUUUGGUUUCUGCUAAUAACACUUUAAAUCUGAUAUUAUUUUCAUUUAAUUACAUUUACAUGAAGAUAGAUCUUUUCCCCUUUUUUCCCCUCCUUGUGAAGUUAUGAUUUUUACCCUUUUCUUCUGUUUUGACUUUUGGUAAACGACAUGAUUUUGCUUACUAUGAUGUACCAAAGGUGUUGUAUUUUGGAUGAUCUGCGAAUAGAUCUGCUUUCAGAUUCUGUUUCAGCCCCCCUUCUUGUGUAAAUUUCGCUUACUCUACAAAAUUAUUAACUGCUAGUAUCACACUUAGUUCAUGAUUCAGGAUCUUAUCCUGUUAGAUCAAGUCACCAAUGAAUGAUUUUUUGGUUUCAAAGAUCUGAAUUGGCAUGCUGAUGAUAUCUAGAUCUGUUGGUGUCACAGGGAGCUGCUGGGCAUUUUCGACGAUUGCUGCUGUGGAAGGUAUCAACCAGAUCGUGACCGGCGACCUGAUCUCUCUGUCCGAGCAGGAAUUGGUGGACUGCGACACCUACUACAACCAGGGCUGCAACGGGGGGCUCAUGGAUUAUGCCUUUGAGUUCAUCAUCAACAAUGGUGGUAUCGACACCGAUGAGGACUACCCAUACAAGGCCCGAGAUGGAACUUGCGAUACUUACAGGGUGACCUAUUGAUUAGUCAUUUGAAACUAGCAACCCCCUUUUUUUCCUGUUGCUUUGUUGUUUGUGGGUGAUGUUCUAAUGAGGUUUGGUGCCCACCUUUGUCAUGUAGAAAAAUGCACAUGUUGUGGCAAUUGACGCAUAUGAGGAUGUUCCGGUUAACGAUGAGAAGUCUCUGCAAAAAGCAGUUGCUAACCAACCGGUUAGUGUUGCUAUUGAAGCUGGUGGCAGGACAUUCCAGCUUUAUGACACGGUAAAGUUGCCACAAGAUAAUGCAAUUUUAUAUUUCUACCAAUAUUCUUUGUUUAUAAAAUUAUGUCACGGCUUAAACUACAACUUGAUUUUCUUUGAACCGAUGUUCUAAUCCUUAUGGAAGCUUGCAGACUUUUAUACUUCCACAUUAUGGUGACCUAGGUUGAAAAUCUUUGAUCACUUCUAAUUGAAUAGAUUGUCAUUUGAUACAGCAACAACAAAUGUUUUAACAAUUUGGGACUGAUUAUAAAUAUCUUUUUUACUGAUUGAACUCCAUUCAACACAAUAUUUCUGGUUAAGUCAAGGACAUUCAAUUUUCCUUUAUUGUUUUUAGUAAAGAAAUUUUCAGUCUCUCUCUCUCUCUCCAAUUUUUUCUCGCACCACCAUUAAUCAACUCACCUCUUCUAACCAUACUAUCUACAGAUUUUUGUUGAAUAUUUUUAUAAUAUCUUAGAUGAUUUUUUCUUAUUUUAUAGUUUAUCGGAUUACAACCAAUUGUUCACAAAUAAAUAUCUGUUUAAUCUUUUCUUGUGGCUCUGCAUACCUAUCUUGCGUUUUCAUGUGAGCUAUACAAGCUUUUCAUAUAUAUUGAUUUUCAACUGUCCAAUACUUCAAUUCAUUAAGCCACAACAAUCUUUUAUACUCAAUCUCCCUCUCCAUCUUAACCAUCAAACUUAUGAAAAAUAUCUCCAUUAAUCCUUUUUACCAUGUUGAAUGAUAAAUUUAAAAAUAUUUAAAAUAAUUUUCAUGUAUGACCUUCUUAUCCAUCCAUCCUGACUUCAUCCUCACUUCUUCUCUUAAAUUAUCUAAAAUUAUAGUUCAUAUUCAAUCUUAGUAAAUUUUAAUCUAGAACCUUUAAUUUCUGAGAUUUGACUCGGUAAUUCAAGUUUAAAAUUUUAUUCCAGCUAAAAUUCCAUAUAUUAAAAUAAUAUCAUUAGCAAAUAGCAUAUAUGAUUAGUCAGUUUGCCUAUUAUAAGGACCAUAAUAUGUUUAUGUUGCAUCAGAAUUUAGAUUCCCUAAAUAUUUUUAUGAAUCUGUGGUUUUUUUCUCUAGACUGUUAUAAUUUCUAAUGUGUGGUUAAUUAAUAUGGAAGACACUGCAAAUAGACAAAUGCCACUAGAAAUAGAAAUUCUUAAUUAAACCCUUUCCAUGAUAAUACAAAUGCAUUAAGCGGCAUGGUUUGAGAAUUAUGAUCUAUUGUUUGUGAUAUGAAAUUUAGUUGGUUAGUAAUCUUCUUCUUGAAAUUCUGUGAAUGAUUUAGAUGAUACCAUCUGAGCAGUGGCACAGGUUCCAUUUGAUGAUGGAUUUGCUUUGUGAUAUGUGAUGUACAUAUAUCUCCAGUUUGCUGCCUAAUAUAUAUAUAUAUAUAUAUAUAUAUAUAUAUAUAUAUAUAUAUAUAUAUAUAUAUAUAUAUAAUGUCCACAAGUCUUUUUUUUUUCCAAGCUGCUACUUUCCUUCCUUCAAAUCUAUAGAUGUCUUUCAUGUUGAUGAGUUGAAAAAAUUAUUACUCCAAUUUUUUUUCAGGGAAUAUUCACCGGAUCUUGUGGGACUGCACUAGAUCAUGGUGUGACUGCCGUAGGCUAUGGCUCCAAGAAUGGCCAGGACUACUGGCUUGUGAAGAACUCAUGGGGUGAAGACUGGGGCGAGGCUGGAUACAUACGAAUGGAACGUAAUAUUGCAUCUGCCACUGGCAAGUGUGGUAUUGCAAUGGAGGCCUCAUACCCCAUUAAGAAGGGCCAGAACCCACCAAACCCUGGUCCAUCUCCACCUUCCCCUGUUAAGCCACCCACAGUCUGUGAUAACUACUACACCUGCCCAGAGAGUACCACAUG
This 4830-nucleotide long non-coding RNA is filed under the name Musa acuminata (dwarf banana). RNAcentral describes it as "long non-coding RNA (MACU_LNC004296)". Lineage: Eukaryota; Viridiplantae; Streptophyta; Magnoliopsida; Zingiberales; Musaceae. The record is from RNAcentral.